ACAAGAUUCAAUUUAGAGGAGCCAUCCGACACGGAAACUGCUUCAGUCUUGUCUCCCGCAUCGACCAAACUAACGAGCACCAUUUUAAACUGAUGACUGUUUGUUUAAAUUCUGUUUUACAUGACUUGGACGGCAAAGCUUUGAGAGUUGCCAAAGUUGGAUUUACUUUUUUGCCACUUCAGACAGUCCCAGCGGUGGUAUUUAGACCAAUUAUGUCUUUAUUCUAAAACAAAUUAGCCAAUUAUAUUUUGUCUGCAUGACUAUUUUGUCGGUUUUAUUUACAGAUCCCGUGAAAACGAGGAGUCUGUAAAUAAAAAGAGUCCGCAAGGUAUCCAUUUAUCGAGGAUCCAGCAUUGCUUCAAAUGGACGAGGAGAAAACACCCUGCUGAAACCCGGCUGGAUCAACUCAUGAACGCAUGUUGGUUCUUACUUCUUGAAGAUUUUGGACUUUUCCUGGCGACAAAGGAUUUUCAUGUGACAUGUACAAUUAUGGGAUGACCAAUAAAAUAUUAUAGUUUGAAGUGUUAGCAGCCAAAUAAGUAGUGCUGUGUAUACAUGCAAUUUGCAGUGUUAAACUUGCCAUAUCUAAGACAAAUAAAGUUUGAGAUAUCAUACGAGU
Long non-coding RNA from Micropterus salmoides (largemouth bass), 619 nucleotides. RefSeq lists it as uncharacterized. The record is from RefSeq and is a predicted model, not a curated record. NCBI's taxonomy places the organism in Eukaryota, Metazoa, Chordata, Actinopteri, Centrarchiformes, Centrarchidae. The transcript is spliced from 2 exons.